Salvia miltiorrhiza (redroot sage) is the source of this 2197-nucleotide long non-coding RNA. RefSeq lists it as uncharacterized. Lineage: Eukaryota; Viridiplantae; Streptophyta; Magnoliopsida; Lamiales; Lamiaceae. The transcript has 3 exons. The record is from RefSeq and is a predicted model, not a curated record.
AAACAUAAGAAAAGGGCAAAAAGUAUUGGUUUGGGAACCAUGAUAUGUAAAAUCUUGAAUAAAAUGGGCAUUUCUCGACAGACCCAUCAAUCAUCUUCAAUGCCUCCAUUUCCUCAAAAGAGAAGCUAGCUGUUUGUGUGAGUGAGAGGUGGCUGCUCUCACCAUUUUCCACCUCAAAAAUUCCUACCUUUUUCAGAACCCUAAUUAAUCUAAUUCAUUUCAAACAUGUUUUUGCUCAACAACUAAGGGGGGAGCUGCAAAAUAUUGCACACAAGAAGGGGGAGCAUGCAGCAAUUGUGGUUAGCUUUGAAAAGAGAAACCAUACUUUGUGUAUCAUGAGAGGCAAGCAAAAUUGCAAUUACAACCUAUAAGUUGCUUUAGUGUGGAAAGAGCUGCUGAGAAAGUGAGGUGAGCAUAAGGUAAUUAUCUUUUAGUUUUCCAAUUGAUUCUUAUAGGUUUUGGACCUAGUAAUGCCAAAUGUUGUCAUGUAAUAUUAAACAUAGCUGAUUGGAUAAGACUGGUACUUCUUAUGGCUCCUGUCUUAUUUUAGGGUCUCUUAUAUGUUGUGCUCCUAAAAAGUAGGUGCUAUAGAGAUUUUAUAUCAUGAUUCAUAUAUAUACCUUGAUUGUAGCUAAGCGCAUGCAGCUUCCAUAUUUUACAUCUCAUUUUUCUUCCUUUAGGCAUUUUUUGGUUCAUUGUGGAAAGAUUGAGAGGGCAAAGAUUGUUCUAAAGACUAAGAGGCCUUUUAGAAUGAUGAUAUAUUAUAAUUAAGUGGCAAUUUUGUAAAAGUUUAGAGUAGGAUGUAAUUUUGGAUAAGUCAAGUUAUUACUCUGAAAAUGAGAACCAAGGUUUUUCAGCCAAUUAGUAUUUUCCUAAUCAUUUUCAAGAAUAUCUGAUUAAUCAAAGCAAAUCUAACAACUAAAAAUUAUCUACACACCAUGGUUACUUUUUCUUCAACCAAAGGUUUGUAAGAGCUAAACAUUCCUAUAAUGAGACCAUCAAAAUGUUAUCUUAUGUAGAAAAGACUUGUGAAUUUCGAAGGAUCACAUCUAUGAAGGCGUUGCUGUAUUUAGGAACUACUGGGCUAACGUCUACAGUUGCAGGCUUUAUAUCACCGAGCAGCAUAAAGGGAGUAGUAGGGACUAUAUUCUAUAUUGGGAUGGCCUAAUUGUUCAAGUUCUCGUUUAAUGCAAAAACUCUUGUGCGGUAAGUAUUGAUUAAUCAUUAGCUCUUAGUUAAUUAUGGGUCAUUUAGGGUUUAAACAAGAGUUUAUUAAUCCCCAAUUACGGUUUAUUAAUAAUGACAAUCAGGAUUUAAUUAAAGUGAAUGUAUAUGAGUGUGCCUUCAUAUUUAAUUACCAUUGUGUUUGAAGAUUAGGGUGAGUGGGCAUGUACAGAUGACCAAGGGAAGUUGGUUUAAAGCUCAGUCCCACAACUGAUAAGAUUGAAUUGAUUUUUUGUUGGGUUGGAACUUGGAAUUAAUGUUCAUUAUGCAUAACUGGCAGAGGUAGAAGGCAAUGUGUUAUUUGUUACUUUUAUUUUUAUUUUUUAGGAGGCAAUGUGUUAUUUAUAUGCCUACCUAAUGCAAUAAUGAAAAGGUGGAGCCUUGCUAACUGUACUUUUAUUGUGUUGGUAAAGAUGGGAAAUUCUGAAUUCCUAGAAAAAGAAAUAUGGAAUUUCAAACACUAUUUAUUGUGUUAUGAUUUAUGGUUUUAGAUACUUGGUAUUGGAUUUGCUUCUUUUUUCUUUGUUAGCAUAAUAUGUGUAAUGAUACAUGUCAUUAGUCCCUAAUUUUGGUAUCAAUUUAUCAUCAUCAAAUUGAAACGUAAGUGUGAGAUGUUUCGUUUUUUGACGGGAGAAACAAAUAUUUUAAAAGAUUAUUUGACGGUGCACUCGAACAUAUGAAAUGGUUCUUUUUUUAAAAUUUUUUGGCAGGAAAAACAAAUAUGGACUCGGACGUGUGAGAUGCUUCUUUUUUUUAUUUUUAGGAAAAACAAGUAUUUUGAAAGAUUGCAUGAUGAUAGAUUCGAACUAAGAUGUUUAUUAUUAUUUAUUUAUUUUAAAUUGUAAGAUGCUUUUAUUUGGAAGGCAGCCAAUAUGUUUUCUGGUAGAAAGAACAAAAAGGGGCAGAAGAAAUUGCUUUUGGCCAUGCUUGAAAAGUUGAAUGGAAAAUUCAAUAUACAUCACGAAAUUCAUCA